This 445-nucleotide ribosomal RNA is filed under the name uncultured bacterium. Its description in RNAcentral is "bacterial SSU rRNA". It matches the Rfam family "Bacterial small subunit ribosomal RNA", at positions 958 to 1398 of the family's 1533-position model. The record is from RNAcentral.
AACGCGAAGAACCUUACCCAGGCUUGACAUCCAGAGGAAGACUGCAGAGACGUAGUCGCUGGGGCAACCCGGCCUUUGGACAGGUGCUGCAUGGUUGUCGUCAGCUCGUGCCGUGAGGUGUUAGGUUAAGUCCUGCAACGAGCGCAACCCUCAUCCUUAGUUGCCAGCGGGUUAUGCCGGGCACUCUAUGGAAACUGCCGCUGAUAAGGCGGAGGAAGGUGGGGAUGACGUCAAAUCAGCAUGGCCCUUACGUCUGGGGCUACACACGUGCUACAAUGGGUGGUACAACGGGAAGCGAAGGAGCAAUCUGGAGCAAAUCCCACAAAACCAUCCUCAGUUCGGAUUGUAGGCUGCAACCCGCCUACAUGAAGUCGGAAUCGCUAGUAACCGCAGAUCAGCAUUGCUGCGGUGAAUACGUUCCCGGGCCUUGUACACACCGCUCGUC